GAUGAAGAACGCAGCGAAAUGCGAUAAGUAAUGCGAAUUGCAGAAUUCCGUGAGUCAUCGAAUCUUUGAACGCACAUUGCGCCCUUUGGCAUUCCGAAGGGCAUGCCUGUUCGAGCGUCAUUUAUCAACCCUCAAGCCCGGCUUGCGGUUGGGUCCCGCCGUGGGCGACCACGGCGGACCCGAAAGGUAAUGGCGGUGCCCGUGGGGCCCUGGACGCAGCGAGCUUCUCGGCACGCGUCCCGGCGGUCCCCGGCGCCGUCUCCACCAAUCCACCACGCAGAUUGACCUCGGAUCAGGUAGGGAUACCCGCUGAACUUAAGCAUAUCAAUAAGCGGAGG
RNAcentral lists this unclassified non-coding RNA (338 nucleotides) under soil metagenome. RNAcentral's name for it is "partial contains 5.8S ribosomal RNA, internal transcribed spacer 2, and large subunit ribosomal RNA". The stretch from base 1 to 120 matches the Rfam family "5.8S ribosomal RNA", at positions 35 to 154 of the family's 154-position model. The record is from RNAcentral.